This is a long non-coding RNA of Sander lucioperca (pikeperch), 100 nucleotides long. RefSeq lists it as uncharacterized. The transcript is spliced from 3 exons. The record is from RefSeq and is a predicted model, not a curated record. NCBI's taxonomy places the organism in Eukaryota, Metazoa, Chordata, Actinopteri, Perciformes, Percidae.
AAAGAGAGCUGCAAACUGGUGUAAACAGCUGUUUCUACACGCCUCCCCCUGCUGAUUUUAAGUACUUUUUGUGAAUGCUCUGCUGUAAAGAAAUAAUGCU